This 343-nucleotide transfer-messenger RNA is filed under the name Sphingomonas sp. It matches the Rfam family "Alphaproteobacteria transfer-messenger RNA". From Rfam's summary of the family: Bacterial tmRNA, also known as 10Sa RNA or SsrA, is named for its dual tRNA and mRNA-like properties. Its role is to liberate the mRNA from a stalled ribosome. Lineage: Bacteria; Pseudomonadati; Pseudomonadota; Alphaproteobacteria; Sphingomonadales; Sphingomonadaceae. The record is from RNAcentral.
GGGGUUUUCAUUAACGUGUAAAUCCCUAUAUCGGCGAGGCCGGGUUCGCCCGGCUAUGGUGAUAAAGUGCGGCGUGAAAUAGAUGCAGCGGACCCGGGGGCAGUACCCGGCGGCUCCACCACAACCUGCUGAAAAGGCUGGUUAUGACGGGGCCGAACCAGGAUCGACGUGUAUUGAAAGGCGCUGUUUUUGCCCGGGCUGAGUAACCCGUAAAAGGCUCAAAACCACAAGUGCUAACGAUAACGAAGCACUCGCAAUUGCGGCCUAACCCAAGACUUAACGGUCUAGGUUAGAACGACGAAAGCGCGGUUCGGGCUGCACCGGGCAACAGAAGCAGAUUCCG